RNAcentral lists this ribosomal RNA (693 nucleotides) under Triticum aestivum (bread wheat). Its description in RNAcentral is "partial small subunit ribosomal RNA". The record is from RNAcentral. Lineage: Eukaryota; Viridiplantae; Streptophyta; Magnoliopsida; Poales; Poaceae.
AUGUGGCCAAUCGAUGUACAAAGGUUUCUUUCAAUUCCUCUCUCGCAACAUGAUAUGCCAGAUUUCAUUGCUUGGAAUUAUACGAAAAUGAUAUUCUUGGUUCGGUCAGCUUAUUCUGUGGAGUGGGACCACCAGUAUGGAAGCAAAUUAAAACACUCUAAGGGGAUGGGGUGAACCACGGUUAACCCUAUUUGGAGUAAGAUAUGGAAGUUAGCAUGUCCGGUAAAAGUAAAAAAAAUAUGGCGUAUGCUACAUGGAACACUCCUGUUCCGGGUUACGCUGGCUAAUACACAUAUGAAGGUAUCACCCAUCAGCCCCACUUGCUCUAAGUGUUUAGAAGAUACAAAUCAUAUGCUUUUACGUUGUAGUAAAACAAAGGAGGUCUGGAAAAGGUUGGGGACGGAAGAUAUUAUUGAUAAAGCUUGCGAGGUUGACCGUGCUAGAGAGGUGGUGCUGGAGUACGUACUACUUCUGCCAGAUCAAGAUUUGUGAAUAAUGGGUUACCGCAAUGUGCAUGAGAUGAUUGCUAUCUCAGCAUGGUAUCGGUGGUGGGAAAUAUGAAAGUUGGUGCACAAGGAGAAAACUCAAAAUGCACUUCAGAUUUCAAUGGGGGUUCUUGCCCUUACCACAAACAUUGUUAAUGCAUUAUCCCCCCAGGAUUCUAUGAAAAAGGGGUUGGUCUUGUCCUCCUAG